UGUAAGCGUGUACCAAAGUUGUUGCAGUUAAAACGCUCGUAGUCGGAAUUUGGCAGUUCCGGAUGUGUGCACGUCGUGUGCGCACUUCGCGGGGAUUGCUUUUGUGGUCUUGCGUAGGAUGAGGCACUUUUAUUAGUGAACGUCCUCACGCAACCACUUUUUACUGUGAGAAAAUCAGAGUGCUCAAAGCAGGCAUUUGCCGUGAAUGUAUUAGCAUGGAAUAAUAGAAUAGGACUUGGUUCUAUUUUGUUGGUUUGUUGGGACUGAGUAAUGAUUAAGAGGGACAGUUGGGGGCAUUUGUAUUUCGGUGCUAGAGGUGAAAUUCUUAGAUUACCGAAAGACAAACUGCUGCGAAAGCGUCUGCCAAGGAUGUUUUCAUUGA
This 382-nucleotide ribosomal RNA is filed under the name uncultured eukaryote. Its description in RNAcentral is "partial 18S ribosomal RNA". It matches the Rfam family "Eukaryotic small subunit ribosomal RNA", at positions 592 to 976 of the family's 1831-position model. The record is from RNAcentral.